GGAAAUUGUUACUGAAGAGAAAAUUCACGUUGCCAUUUCCAAAAGGGUUGAACCACCACCUAAAGUCCCUGAGCUACCUGAGAAACCAGCUCCAGAAGAAGUGGCCCCUGUUCCUAUCCCUAAAAAAGUGGAGCCCCCAGCACCAAAAGUUCCUGAGGUUCCCAAGAAACCCGUGCCAGAGGAGAAAAAGCCAGUUCCUGUGCCUAAGAAGGAACCUGCUGCUCCCCCAAAAGUCCCAGAGGUGCCAAAGAAACCUGUCCCUGAAGAAAAGAUUCCCGUUCCUGUUGCAAAGAAAAAGGAAGCUCCCCCAGCUAAAGAAGUAACUAUAAUGGAAGAGAAAGAAAGGGCUUAUACCCUAGAAGAAGAAGCUGUUUCAGUACAACGGGAAGAAGAAUAUGAGGAAUAUGAAGAAUAUGAUUAUAAAGAAUUUGAGGAGUAUGAACCAACAGAAGAAUAUGACC
This 461-nucleotide long non-coding RNA is filed under the name Homo sapiens (human). RNAcentral's name for it is "long non-coding RNA NONHSAT186007.1". Lineage: Eukaryota; Metazoa; Chordata; Mammalia; Primates; Hominidae. The record is from RNAcentral.